RNAcentral lists this ribosomal RNA (1196 nucleotides) under uncultured organism. RNAcentral's name for it is "bacterial SSU rRNA". It matches the Rfam family "Bacterial small subunit ribosomal RNA", at positions 199 to 1425 of the family's 1533-position model. The record is from RNAcentral.
GAGUAAAGAUUUCGGUCGCUUUGGGAGGAGCUCGCUUACUAUCAGCUUGUUGGUAGGGUAAUGGCCUACCAAGGCUAUGACGGUUAGGGGGUGUGAGAGCAUGACCCCCAGCAUUGGCACUGAAACACUGGCCAAACACCUACGGGUGGCUGCAGUCGAGAAUCUUCCACAAUGGGGGAAACCCUGAUGGAGCGAUGCUGCGUGCGGGAUGAAGGCCUUCGGGUUGUAAACCGCUUUUGUAGGGGACGAAAUUUUUGACGGUACCCUUUCGAAUAAGAGGUUGCUAACUCUGUGCCAGCAGCAGCGGUAAUACAGAGACCUCAAGCGUUAUCCGGAUUUACUGGGCGUAAAGCGUCUGUAGGGGGUUUAUUAAGUUCCAAGUAAAAUUUCAAGGCUCAACUUUGAAUUCGCUUGGAAAACUAAUAAACUGGAGUCUAGCAGAGGUGCAUGGAACUUGUGGUGUAGGAGUGAAAUCCGUUGAUAUCACAAGGAACACCAAAGGCGAAGGCAUUGCACUGGGCUAGCACUGACCCUGAGAGACGAAAGCGUGGGGAGCAAAACGGAUUAGAUACCCGUGUAGUCCACGCCCUAAACGAUGAAUGCUAAAUGUUCGGGGAUUCGACCCCCUGGGUGUUACAGCUAACGCGUUAAGCAUUCCGCCUGGGAAGUACGGCCGCAAGGCUAAAACCCAAAGGAAUAGACGGGGAUCCGCACAAGCGGUGGAGCGUCUGGUUUAAUUCGACAGUAAGCGUGGUACCUCACCAGGGUUUGACAUCCCUUGACAGCCUUGGAAACAAGGUUUCCUUCGGGCAAGGUGACAGGUGCUGCAUGGUCGUCGUCAGUUCGUGCCGUGAGGUGUUCCGUUAAGUCGGGAAACGAACGAAACCCCUAUUGCAUGUUACAAUUUCUCAUGCAAGACUGCCCGGAUAUACUGGGAGGAAGGUGGGGAUGACGUCAGAUCUGCAUGGUCCUUAUACCCUGGGCGACACAGGCGCUACAAUGGCAGAGACAAAGGGUUGCAAAACCGCAAGGUGAAGCUAAUCCCAAAAACUUUGUCUAAGUUCGGAUUGAAGGCUGCAAUUCGCCUUCAUGAAGCUGGAAUCGCUAGUAAUCGUGAAUCAGCCACGUCACGGUGAAUAUGUUCCCGGAUCUUGUACUCACCGCCCGUCACACCAAGAGAGUUGGUAGCUCCCGAA